GGGCUUGUACUGGUUUCGACGGGGGUUUUGAAGUUGUGGAAGCCAUCCGCAGUCUCCCGAACUGCGUAAUAACGGGAAAUUCUAAAUAUAAACGCUGACGAUCAGUUAGUAAUGGCAGCCUAAGUGCUGCCCGUCAGUCCUGUUGCACUCACACUUCAGGAGUCUGGUGUCGACCUUGUGAGAAACCUUGCCGGGUAAGCUUUGCCCCGGUAGAUGUAUCAUGAAGCUACUGAAGCAGUAAGCCUGUCGGUGGGCGUACUGCUGAGGGAAUGUUA
This 275-nucleotide transfer-messenger RNA is filed under the name Clostridiales bacterium 44_9. Its description in RNAcentral is "partial transfer-messenger RNA". It matches the Rfam family "transfer-messenger RNA", at positions 1 to 298 of the family's 374-position model. Rfam says of the family: Bacterial tmRNA, also known as 10Sa RNA or SsrA, is named for its dual tRNA and mRNA-like properties. Its role is to liberate the mRNA from a stalled ribosome. The record is from RNAcentral. Lineage: Bacteria; Bacillati; Bacillota; Clostridia; Eubacteriales.